GUGAGGAAUAUUGCGCAAUGGCCGAAAGGCUGACGCAGCGACGCCGCGUGGAGGAUGAAAUCCGUUAGGAUGUAAACUCCUUUUGCCGGGGAAGAAUGUCCGCCUAUGGCGGAAGUGACGGUACCUGGCGAAUAAGGAUCGGCUAACUACGUGCCAGCAGCCGCGGUAAUACGUAGGAUCCGAGCGUUGUCCGGAAUUACUGGGUGUAAAGGGCGUGUAGGUGGGCUUCUAAGUCGGUGGUGAAAUCCUGCAGCUUAACUGUAGAACUGCCAUUGAUACUGGAAGUCUUGAGUGCGGCAGAGGGAGAUAGAAUUCAUGGUGUAGCGGUGAAAUGUGUAGAUAUCAUGAAGAAUACCAGUUGCGAAGGCGGUCUCCUGGUCCGUUACUGACACUGAGGCGCGAAAGCGUGGGGAGCAAACAGGAUUAGAAACCCCGGUAGUCC
Molecule: ribosomal RNA, 442 nt
Filed under: uncultured bacterium
Lineage: Bacteria
Description: bacterial SSU rRNA
Rfam family: Bacterial small subunit ribosomal RNA
Source: RNAcentral